Molecule: ribosomal RNA, 1693 nt
Filed under: Salmonella enterica subsp. enterica serovar Senftenberg
Lineage: Bacteria; Pseudomonadati; Pseudomonadota; Gammaproteobacteria; Enterobacterales; Enterobacteriaceae
Also listed under: 2 other names
Description: partial 23S ribosomal RNA
Rfam family: Bacterial large subunit ribosomal RNA
Source: RNAcentral
GAAGGUGGCCUGUGAGGGUUGCUGGAGGUAUCAGAAGUGCGAAUGCUGACAUAAGUAACGAUAAAGCGGGUGAAAAGCCCGCUCGCCGGAAGACCAAGGGUUCCUGUCCAACGUUAAUCGGGGCAGGGUGAGUCGACCCCUAAGGCGAGGCCGAAAGGCGUAGUCGAUGGGAAACGGGUUAAUAUUCCCGUACUUGGUGUUACUGCGAAGGGGGGACGGAGAAGGCUAUGUUGGCCGGGCGACGGUUGUCCCGGUUUAAGCGUGUAGGCUGGUUUUCCAGGCAAAUCCGGAAAAUCAAGGCUGAGGCGUGAUGACGAGGCACUACGGUGCUGAAGCAACAAAUGCCCUGCUUCCAGGAAAAGCCUCUAAGCAUCAGGUAACAUCAAAUCGUACCCCAAACCGACACAGGUGGUCAGGUAGAGAAUACCAAGGCGCUUGAGAGAACUCGGGUGAAGGAACUAGGCAAAAUGGUGCCGUAACUUCGGGAGAAGGCACGCUGACACGUAGGUGAAGUGAUUUACUCAUGGAGCUGAAGUCAGUCGAAGAUACCAGCUGGCUGCAACUGUUUAUUAAAAACACAGCACUGUGCAAACACGAAAGUGGACGUAUACGGUGUGACGCCUGCCCGGUGCCGGAAGGUUAAUUGAUGGGGUCAGCGCAAGCGAAGCUCCUGAUCGAAGCCCCGGUAAACGGCGGCCGUAACUAUAACGGUCCUAAGGUAGCGAAAUUCCUUGUCGGGUAAGUUCCGACCUGCACGAAUGGCGUAAUGAUGGCCAGGCUGUCUCCACCCGAGACUCAGUGAAAUUGAACUCGCUGUGAAGAUGCAGUGUACCCGCGGCAAGACGGAAAGACCCCGUGAACCUUUACUAUAGCUUGACACUGAACAUUGAGCCUUGAUGUGUAGGAUAGGUGGGAGGCUUUGAAGUGUGGACGCCAGUCUGCAUGGAGCCGACCUUGAAAUACCACCCUUUAAUGUUUGAUGUUCUAACGUGGACCCGUAAUCCGGGUUGCGGACAGUGUCUGGUGGGUAGUUUGACUGGGGCGGUCUCCUCCUAAAGAGUAACGGAGGAGCACGAAGGUUGGCUAAUCCUGGUCGGACAUCAGGAGGUUAGUGCAAUGGCAUAAGCCAGCUUGACUGCGAGCGUGACGGCGCGAGCAGGUGCGAAAGCAGGUCAUAGUGAUCCGGUGGUUCUGAAUGGAAGGGCCAUCGCUCAACGGAUAAAAGGUACUCCGGGGAUAACAGGCUGAUACCGCCCAAGAGUUCAUAUCGACGGCGGUGUUUGGCACCUCGAUGUCGGCUCAUCACAUCCUGGGGCUGAAGUAGGUCCCAAGGGUAUGGCUGUUCGCCAUUUAAAGUGGUACGCGAGCUGGGUUUAGAACGUCGUGAGACAGUUCGGUCCCUAUCUGCCGUGGGCGCUGGAGAACUGAGGGGGGCUGCUCCUAGUACGAGAGGACCGGAGUGGACGCAUCACUGGUGUUCGGGUUGUCAUGCCAAUGGCACUGCCCGGUAGCUAAAUGCGGAAGAGAUAAGUGCUGAAAGCAUCUAAGCACGAAACUUGCCCCGAGAUGAGUUCUCCCUGAGACUUAGAGUCUCCUGAAGGAACGUUGAAGACGACGACGUUGAUAGGCCGGGUGUGUAAGCGCAGCGAUGCGUUGAGCUAACCGGUACUAAUGAACCGUGAGGCUUAACCUU